This is a long non-coding RNA of Bombus impatiens (common eastern bumble bee), 823 nucleotides long. RefSeq lists it as uncharacterized. Lineage: Eukaryota; Metazoa; Arthropoda; Insecta; Hymenoptera; Apidae. The transcript is spliced from 2 exons. The record is from RefSeq and is a predicted model, not a curated record.
CGUCCGUAUUGCCGUUUUGACUGUGAACUGACAAACUCGAGGUCGCACAUUGUACCAGGAAUCAACACGCCGUCCGUCUCGAACAGUCCUGCAACAAAAACAGACGAUGAUACUUAUGAAACUGUGAAAAUAUCAUAAACGAAAGAUACCGGGGUCGAUUCACGGUGGCUUAUAGAAGCUUAUAAUCUCUUCUUUGUUCUGACGAAACAAAGAAGGAGCCGUUUUUAAGACAUCGUCGAGGAAAUGGAUCGACUCAAUUAACGAACAAAACAUUUCCUUCGGGGAGAAAUUAUUUUGAUGGAUUUCACGUGUACUGCCUCCUGGCAACAAUAUUCCGAAUAACCACGUAAUCACAAGACAAUGAGGAAAGGAGAACAAGAUGCUUGCGGUAGUGUUCGCAACCGCAUGAUAGACCGCAACUACUUAUCUUGACAAAUGGCGAUUAUCUGCCCCAGAGACGUUUGAUUGACGUAAUCAGGCUGCAAUAUAAUGAUACGUCAACACCUAAAUACAGUAGGAUCUAAUCGUUGAAUCUACCUCCGUGUCAAGAAGCAAAGACAUAAUAAAACUUAUGAUUACGAAACAACGUAGAUUCUGGUUUUAUCGAAGUACCACGAGAUUUGUAUUUAUUCUGUUGCGUAUUUUUCUUUGUAGUAGUAGUAGUAUUCUCAAAUAACUAUAACAAUUCAGUGGCUGUAUUUUCAUAUGGCAAUAAGAAUUUGUAACAGGUGGAAGUAGAACCUGAUAGAAAGACGAUUUAUUGGAAAAAAAAUGUAUAUUCAAACACUUUUUACUCCUCUGUGAUAGUUUACCGAAUGGCAAA